GAUGAACGCUGGCGGCGUGCCUAAUACAUGCAAGUCGAGCGAACGGACGAGAAGCUUGCUUCUCUGAUGUUAGCGGCGGACGGGUGAGUAACACGUGGAUAACCUACCUAUAAGACUGGAUAACUUCGGGAAACCGGAGCUAAUACCGGAUGAUAUUUUGAACCGCAUGGUUCCAAAGUGAAAGACGGUCUUGCUGUCACUUAUAGAUGGAUCCGCGCUGCAUUAGCUAGUUGGUAAGGUAACGGCUUACCAAGGCAACGAUGCAUAGCCGACCUGAGAGGGUGAUCGGCCACACUGGAACUGAGACUCGGUCCAGACUCCUACGGGAGGCAGCAGUAGGGAAUCUUCCGCAAUGGGCGAAAGCCUGACGGAGCAACGCCGCGUGAGUGAUGAAGGUCUUCGGAUCGUAAAACUCUGUUAUUAGGGAAGAACAUAUGUGUAAGUAACUGUGCACAUCUUGACGGUACCUAAUCAGAAAGCCACGGCUAACUACGUG
This 496-nucleotide ribosomal RNA is filed under the name uncultured bacterium. RNAcentral's name for it is "partial 16S ribosomal RNA". It matches the Rfam family "Bacterial small subunit ribosomal RNA", at positions 28 to 507 of the family's 1533-position model. The record is from RNAcentral.